AGUGGAAUGAGCGGCGGACGGGUGAGUAACACGUAAGGAACCUGCCUCAAGGAUUGGGAUAACUCCGAGAAAUCGGAGCUAAUACCGGAUAGUUCUUCGGACCGCAUGGUCCGAUGAUGAAAGGCGCUCCGGCGUCACCUUGAGAUGGCCUUGCGGUGCAUUAGCUAGUUGGUGGGGUAAUGGCCUACCAAGGCGACGAUGCAUAGCCGACCUGAGAGGGUGAUCGGCCACACUGGGACUGAGACACGGCCCAGACUCCUACGGGAGGCAGCAGUAGGGAAUCUUCCACAAUGGACGAAAGUCUGAUGGAGCAACGCCGCGUGAGUGAUGAAGGUUUUCGGAUCGUAAAACUCUGUUGUAAGGGAAGAACAGAUACGAGAGGUAAUGCUCGUAUCCUGACGGUACCUUGCGAGAAAGCCACGGCUAACUACGUGCCAGCAGCCGCGGUAAUACGUAGGUGGCAAGCGUUGUCCGGAAUUAUUGGGCGUAAAGCGCGCGCAGGCGGCCUUUUAAGUCUGAUGUGAAAGCCCCCGGCUCAACCGGGGAGGGUCAUUGGAAACUGGAAGGCUUGAGUACAGAAGAGAAGAGUGGAAUUCCAUGUGUAGCGGUGAAAUGCGUAGAGAUGUGGAGGAACACCAGUGGCGAAGGCGACUCUUUGGUCUGUAACUGACGCUGAGGCGCGAAAAGCGUGGGGAGCAAACAGGAUUAGAUACCCUGGUAGUCCACGCCCGUAACGAU
Molecule: ribosomal RNA, 738 nt
Filed under: Exiguobacterium oxidotolerans
Lineage: Bacteria; Bacillati; Bacillota; Bacilli; Caryophanales
Description: bacterial SSU rRNA
Rfam family: Bacterial small subunit ribosomal RNA
Source: RNAcentral